Molecule: ribosomal RNA, 484 nt
Filed under: uncultured bacterium
Lineage: Bacteria
Description: partial 16S ribosomal RNA
Rfam family: Bacterial small subunit ribosomal RNA
Source: RNAcentral
AUUGAACGCUGGCGGCAUGCUUUACACAUGCAAGUCGAACGGCAGCGCGGGCUUCGGCCUGGCGGCGAGUGGCGAACGGGUGAGUAAUGCAUCGGAACGUGCCCAGUAGUGGGGGAUAGCCCGGCGAAAGCCGGAUUAAUACCGCAUACGACCUGAGGUUGAAAGCGGGGGACCGAAAGGCCUCGCGCUAUUGGAGCGGCCGAUGUCGGAUUAGCUAGUUGGUGGGGUAAAGGCUUACCAAGGCGACGAUCCGUAGCUGGUCUGAGAGGACGACCAGCCACACUGGGACUGAGACACGGCCCAGACUCCUACGGGAGGCAGCAGUGGGGAAUUUUGGACAAUGGGGGCAACCCUGAUCCAGCCACGCCGCGUGCGGGAAGAAGGCCUUCGGGUUGUAAACCGCUUUUGUUCGGGAAGAAAUCCUCUGGGCUAAUACCCCGGGGGGAUGACGGUACCGGAAGAAUAAGCACCGGCUAACUACGUG